RNAcentral lists this ribosomal RNA (677 nucleotides) under uncultured bacterium. RNAcentral describes it as "bacterial SSU rRNA". It matches the Rfam family "Bacterial small subunit ribosomal RNA", at positions 875 to 1498 of the family's 1533-position model. The record is from RNAcentral.
UUGGGUGGCAGACCAAUGCUUCGGUGCGGAAAGCAAAUCGCUAUUAUGUCAUCCCCAGCGUGGGGGAGUACGUCGCAAAGAAAUGAAACUCAAAGGAUGACGGGACCCGCACAAGCGGGUGGAGCAUGUGUUUAAUCGACGCACGCGAAGAACCUUACCAGGCCCUGACAUCUGCUGGCCCAUCCGGGUAACGCCGGGACUCCCUUCGGGGCAGCAGAGACAGGUGGUGCAUGGUUGUCGUCAGCUCGUGCCGUGAGGUGUCGGCUUAAGUGCCAUAACGAGCGCAACCCCUUUCCGCCGGUUACCAUCGGGUCAUGCCGGGGACUCCGGCGGCACUGCCGCCGCAAGGCGCGAGGAAGGCGGGGAUGACGUCAAAUCAGCACGGCCCUUACGUCCGGGGCCACACACGUGUUACAAUGGGGGGCACAAGCGAGCUGGACCAGGGCGACCUGGUUCGAAUCAUGAAAUCCCCUCCCAGUUCGGACCGGAGUCUGCAACCCGACUCCGCGAAGCCGGAUUCGCUAGUAAUCGCGCAUCAGCCAUGGCGCGGUGAAUACGUUCCCGGGCCUUGUACACACCGCCCGUCAAGCCAUGAAAGCCUGGGGCGCCUGAAGUCCGUUGCCGCGAGGCGCGGCCGAGGGCGAUACAGGUGAUUGGGGCUAAGUCGUAACAAGGUA